GGGGUUGUAGCUCAGUGGUAGAGCGCUCGCCUCACACGUGCGGGACCCUGGGUUCGAUCCUCAGCACCACA
RNAcentral lists this transfer RNA (71 nucleotides) under Marmota monax (woodchuck). RNAcentral's name for it is "tRNA.Val". It matches the Rfam family "tRNA". Rfam says of the family: Transfer RNA (tRNA) molecules are approximately 80 nucleotides in length. Their secondary structure includes four short double-helical elements and three loops (D, anti-codon, and T loops). The record is from RNAcentral. Lineage: Eukaryota; Metazoa; Chordata; Mammalia; Rodentia; Sciuridae.